GUUUGGAAUACAAACAGGUUUGCUCUCUCUCUCUCACAAAAUCAAACACCACCGAACCAAACCGCACCUAACCUCACCUCACCGCGAUCCGCUCAUCUCACCGUCGCUCACCGCCGUGCGACGUCGCACAUCGCCACCGCCGCAAAUCACAGUCGCACAUCACCGUUGGCUCGCCUCCAGCUUACAUUCAGAACAGGUUUUGUUGCAAUGUGGGCAAGCUUUUGGAUCUAAAUCGUGGUCAAUAUUGAAAUCAGUUGCAGUUGGAGCCCAUUCAUCAGGGUGAACAGCCCAACAGCAAAUGUAGCCUGAAUUUUGGUGAAGGUUUCAGAAAAUGAGAAGAAAUAUCACCCUUCAAGGGUACUAACCCUUGUCUAUCAACCAUUUGCACUUGGAACAAUGACAAUACUUGCAUAUAAUGAGUCAAAGAUUGACACAAGGCGGUGCAACUUGACUGGAUACAUCCUUUUCUUCAUUUGUACUUUCGCUCUAUUAGUUCUGGAUUUAGCGACAUCAAGGAAGGGAGGAGUUAGAAAUUUUAUUGGUAUAUGCAAUCAUUGUUGCUGCUUUCGGAGUUGCAGAUGCCCAUGUUUAAGGUGGAAUGGUUGGAGACCUAUCCUUCAUGUGAUUUUUUUUUUU
Camellia sinensis is the source of this 636-nucleotide non-coding RNA. Lineage: Eukaryota; Viridiplantae; Streptophyta; Magnoliopsida; Ericales; Theaceae. The record is from RefSeq and is a predicted model, not a curated record.